RNAcentral lists this ribosomal RNA (253 nucleotides) under uncultured Eubacteriales bacterium. RNAcentral's name for it is "uncultured Clostridiales bacterium partial 16S ribosomal RNA". It matches the Rfam family "Bacterial small subunit ribosomal RNA", at positions 524 to 776 of the family's 1533-position model. Lineage: Bacteria; Bacillati; Bacillota; Clostridia; Eubacteriales. The record is from RNAcentral.
UACGUAGGUGGCAAGCGUUGUCCGGAUUUACUGGGUGUAAAGGGCGUGUAGACGGGACUGCAAGUCAGAUGUGAAAUUUAUGGGCUCAACCCAUAACCUGCAUUUGAAACUGUGGUUCUUGAGUGAUGGAGAGGUAAGCGGAAUUCCUAGUGUAGCGGUGAAAUGCGUAGAUAUUAGGAGGAACACCGGUGGCGAAGGCGGCUUACUGGACAUUAACUGACGUUGAGGCGCGAAAGUGUGGGGAGCAAACAGG